UACGAAGGGGGCUAGCGUUGCUCGGAAUCACUGGGCGUAAAGGGUGCGUAGGCGGGUCUUUAAGUCAGGGGUGAAAUCCUGGAGCUCAACUCCAGAACUGCCUUUGAUACUGAGGAUCUUGAGUUCGGGAGAGGUGAGUGGAACUGCGAGUGUAGAGGUGAAGUUCGUAGAUAUUCGCAAGAACAACCAGUGGCGAAGGCGGCUCACUGGCCCGAGUACUGACGCUGAGGCACGAAAGCGUGG
RNAcentral lists this ribosomal RNA (243 nucleotides) under uncultured bacterium. Its description in RNAcentral is "partial 16S ribosomal RNA". It matches the Rfam family "Bacterial small subunit ribosomal RNA", at positions 524 to 764 of the family's 1533-position model. The record is from RNAcentral.